AAGAUGUGUAUAAGGGACAGGUGAAUCAUCGAAUCUUUGAACGCACAUUGCGCCCCUUGGUAUUCCGGGGGGCAUGCCUGUUCGAGCGUCAUUUCAACCCUCAAGCACUGCUUGGUCUUGGGCCCUGCCGGCAACGGCUGGCCUUAAAAUCAGUGGCGGCGCCCUCGAGCUCUACGCGUAGUAAUAAAACCCUCGCGUGUGAGUCUCGGCGGCUGCUGGCCAGCAACCCCCAAUUUUUUAUGGUUGACCUCGGAUCAGGUAGGGAUACCCGCUGAACUUAAGCAUAUCAAUAAGCGGAGG
Molecule: unclassified non-coding RNA, 300 nt
Filed under: uncultured Helotiales
Lineage: Eukaryota; Fungi; Ascomycota; Leotiomycetes; Helotiales
Description: sequence contains 5.8S rRNA gene, ITS2
Rfam family: 5.8S ribosomal RNA (bases 1-91)
Source: RNAcentral